UACGGAGGGGGCUAGCGUUGUUCGGAAUUACUGGGCGUAAAGCGCACGUAGGCGGACCAGAAAGUUGGGAGUGAAAUCCCGGGGCUCAACCUCGGAACUGCCUUCAAAACUAUUGAUCUGGAGUUCGAGAGAGGUGAGUGGAAUUCCGAGUGUAGAGGUGAAAUUCGUAGAUAUUCGGAGGAACACCAGUGGCGAAGGCGGCUCACUGGCUCGAUACUGACGCUGAGGUGCGAAAGCGUGGGGAGCAAACAGG
This 253-nucleotide ribosomal RNA is filed under the name uncultured Paracoccus sp. RNAcentral describes it as "partial 16S ribosomal RNA". It matches the Rfam family "Bacterial small subunit ribosomal RNA", at positions 524 to 776 of the family's 1533-position model. The record is from RNAcentral. Lineage: Bacteria; Pseudomonadati; Pseudomonadota; Alphaproteobacteria; Rhodobacterales; Paracoccaceae.